This 74-nucleotide transfer RNA is filed under the name Eubacteriales bacterium. Its description in RNAcentral is "tRNA-Gly". It matches the Rfam family "tRNA". From Rfam's summary of the family: Transfer RNA (tRNA) molecules are approximately 80 nucleotides in length. Their secondary structure includes four short double-helical elements and three loops (D, anti-codon, and T loops). Lineage: Bacteria; Bacillati; Bacillota; Clostridia; Eubacteriales. The record is from RNAcentral.
GCAGGAUUCGUAUAUCGGUAGUACAACAGCUUCCCAAGCUGUGAAGGCGGGUUCGACUCCCGUAUCCUGCUCCA